Fundulus heteroclitus (mummichog) is the source of this 265-nucleotide long non-coding RNA. RefSeq lists it as uncharacterized. Lineage: Eukaryota; Metazoa; Chordata; Actinopteri; Cyprinodontiformes; Fundulidae. The transcript is spliced from 3 exons. The record is from RefSeq and is a predicted model, not a curated record.
CCUCAUAAAACUGAACCAGAACCAGAACCAGAACCCAGCUGUGUGUCCUUUAAGAGCGAUGGCUCAAAGCUUCGUCCCAUUGACUUCAAAUCAUCAGGACCUCCAUCCUCAGAGAGGAUCCAUCAUGAACCAGAACCAGAACCAGAACCCAGCUGUGUGUCCUUUGCGAGCGAUGGCUCAAAGCUUCGUCCCAUUGACUUCAAAUCAUCAGGACCUCCAUCCUCAGAGAGAGUGGACCAGCAGAACUCAGAGGUUCCCAGAGGUC